Molecule: ribosomal RNA, 508 nt
Filed under: uncultured bacterium
Lineage: Bacteria
Description: bacterial SSU rRNA
Rfam family: Bacterial small subunit ribosomal RNA
Source: RNAcentral
UAGUCCACGCCGUAAACGAUGUCUACUAGCCGUUGGAACCCUUGAGGUUUUAGUGGCGCAGCUAACGCAUUAAGUAGACCGCCUGGGGAGUACGGUCGCAAGAUUAAAACUCAAAUGAAUUGACGGGGGCCCGCACAAGCGGUGGAGCAUGUGGUUUAAUUCGAAGCAACGCGAAGAACCUUACCAAGACUUGACAUCCUGAUAACUUACUAGAAAUAGUUUGGUGCCUUCGGGAAAUCAGUGACAGGUGCUGCAUGGCUGUCGUCAGCUCGUGCUGUGAGGUGUUCGGUUAAGUCCGGCAACGAGCGCAACCCCUAUCGUUAGUUACCAUCAUUUAGUUGGGCACUCUAGAGAAACUGCCGGUGACAAACCGGAGGAAGGUAAGGAUGACGUCAAGUCAGCAUGCCCCUUACGCUCUGGGCUACACACGUGCUACAAUGGUCGUGACAAAGAGUUGCUAGUCUGCGAAGGCAAGCCAAUCUCAUAAACGCGGCCUUAGUUCGGAUUG